UCGAGAAUCUUUCGCAAUGGGCGCAAGCCUGACGAAGCGACGCCGUGUGAGCGAAGAAGGCCUUCGGGUUGUAAAGCUCUUUCGCUAGGGAACAAGAGAGACGUGGUAACAUAACGUCGAUUUGAUGGUACUUGGUAAAGAAGCACCGGCUAACUCCGUGCCAGCAGCUGCGGUAAUACGGAGGGUGCAAGCAUUGAUCGGAAUUACUGGGCGUAAAGGGCGCGUAGGCGGUUUUGAAAGUCAGAUGUGAAAUUCCAGGGCUCAACCCUGGAGCUGCAUUUGAAACUUCAAGGCUAGAGGUCAGUUAGGGAAAACGGAAUUCCACGUGUAGCGGUGAAAUGCGUAGAUAUGUGGAAGAACACCAGUGGUGAAGACGGUUUUCUGGGCUGAACCUGACGCU
RNAcentral lists this ribosomal RNA (400 nucleotides) under uncultured bacterium. RNAcentral describes it as "bacterial SSU rRNA". It matches the Rfam family "Bacterial small subunit ribosomal RNA", at positions 355 to 747 of the family's 1533-position model. The record is from RNAcentral.